Molecule: ribosomal RNA, 389 nt
Filed under: uncultured eukaryote
Lineage: Eukaryota
Description: SSU rRNA
Rfam family: Eukaryotic small subunit ribosomal RNA
Source: RNAcentral
AGCUCCAAGAGCAUAUAUUAAAGUUGUUGCAGUUAAAAAGCUCGUAGUUGGACUUCUGGUUUAAUGCACCUGGCCCGCGGUCGUCAGACCUGUGAGUGCCGGCGCGCGUUUACCAUCCUUCUAGAAAACGGGUCUUCCCUUAACUGGGCCGGAUUCGGGAUCUAGAUCAUUUACUUUGAAAAAAUUAGAGUGUUUAAAGCAGGCUAUUGCUAUGAAUACAUUAGCAUGGAAUAAUAAUCUAGGACUUCGGUUCUAUUUUGUUGGUUUCUAUGACUGAAGUAAUGAUUGAUAGGGAUAGUUGGGGGUGCUAGUAUUGGCCGGUCAGAGGUGAAAUUCUUGGAUUCGGUCAAGACUAACUUAUGCGAAAGCAUUCACCAAGGAUGUCUUCU